UACAGAGGUGGCAAGCGUUGUUCGGAAUCACUGGGCGUAAAGGGCGCGUAGGCGGCUUUUCAAGCGUGCGGUGAAAGCUCGGGGCUUAACUCCGAGUCUGCCGUGCGAACUGGGAGGCUUGAGUCUGGUAGAGGUCGAUGGAAUUCCGGGUGUAGCGGUGGAAUGCGUAGAGAUCCGGAAGAACACCGGUGGCGAAGGCGGUCGACUGGGCCAGUACUGACGCUGAGGCGCGACAGCGUGGGGAGCAAACAGG
This 253-nucleotide ribosomal RNA is filed under the name uncultured bacterium. RNAcentral's name for it is "partial 16S ribosomal RNA". It matches the Rfam family "Bacterial small subunit ribosomal RNA", at positions 524 to 776 of the family's 1533-position model. The record is from RNAcentral.